GCACCUAAUCAUAGCUCAGUUGGCUAGAGCGCAGUGCUGAUAAUGCCAAGGUUGCAGGUUCGAUCCUGGUACGGGACAGCUGCA
This is a non-coding RNA of Podarcis lilfordi (Lilford's wall lizard), 84 nucleotides long. The record is from the annotation of a GenBank genome assembly. Lineage: Eukaryota; Metazoa; Chordata; Lepidosauria; Squamata; Lacertidae.